This is an RNA transcript of Populus euphratica (Euphrates poplar), 1733 nucleotides long. It is a transcript of the gene named BAG family molecular chaperone regulator 1-like, with no coding region annotated. Lineage: Eukaryota; Viridiplantae; Streptophyta; Magnoliopsida; Malpighiales; Salicaceae. The record is from RefSeq and is a predicted model, not a curated record. The transcript has 5 exons.
UCAUUUCCCUUUUCUUUUCCUCUCUCCUCCUAGCUUUCUUCAGCGAAGAUACCACAUGUCUCUCCCUCUCUCUCUCUCUAGCAAUAUUUCUCCGUUAACCAUCCUCUCAAUACAUAAAAAAACAUUAUUUUGUUUUCAAAAUCACCAUUGUACGUCUUUUUGUAGAAAGAUGUCUUCUUUCAAGUAAAAUACCCUUCUUGUAUUUAUAGCAGUUCGGUAUUGAGUCCAAAUAUUACACACCAUGUCCUUUGAACUCAGGUGUUGUUAAACCGGAAAGCACUGCUUCAGAUCAAUGAAGAGAACUUUCUUCGAGAUCUAAGGUUCUUUCUUUCUUCUCAUCUGCGUUUAUCUUAAGCCUCAAGGCAAGUUCAGGGAUAUAUGUAGAUGGAACCAAUGAAGUCAAAGAUUAAGGGGAUGUUUACUCAGGGGGGCAAGGAGGACUUUUAUGUUGGCAGAUGCAAUAUGAAUAUUGUUGAAGAAUGGGAAAUUAGGCCAGGAGGAAUGUUAGUUCAAAAGAGAAAUACUGCUGAUUCCAAUCAUAACUCUGUUCCUGUUUCCAACAUUAAAGUUAGAGUCAAAUGUGGUUCUUCAUGUCAUGAAAUCAGCAUCAGUUCUCAAGCAAGUUUUGGUGAACUGAAAAAAAUGCUUGCGGAACAUACAGGAGUGCACCCACUGGAUCAAAAGCUGAUAUUCAAGAAGAAGGAGAGAAAUUCGAAGGCGUAUUUAGAUGUUGCCGGAGUGAAAGAUGGAUCCAAAAUUGUGUUAAUUGAGGACAUUACCAGCCGCGAAAGGCGUUGUCUUGAGAUGCUCAAAUCUGCUAAGAUAGAAAAGGGUUCGAAGUCAUUGCAACAAGUAAGCUCGGAAGUUGACCAGUUUGGUGAUAAGGUGACAUCCUUGGAAACAACAACUUCUAAGGGAGGAAAAGUAGCAGAGAAAGACGUGGAUGGUUUGACUGAAAUCUUGAUGGCAAAAUUAGUAGCAUUGGAUGGGAUUUUUGUUGAGGGAGACUUGAAGUUGCAGAAGAGAAUGCAGGAAAGGAAAGUUCAGCAGUACAUUGAAGCUCUUGAUAGGCUCAAGUUAAACUAUUCUACUGCCAAUACCAGUGGAGGCAAAAUCCCAUUGCAGCUACAAGAUAAUUCAAUUGGAAAAAUACCAAUACCAACGCAAAAGAAGCCAAUUCAAAACAAUAAAGGAAAAAUCCCAUUGCAGCAGCAAGAUAAUUCAAUAAGGAUAACGCCAAUAACAAAGCAAAAGCAGACAAUUCAAAGCAAUGGAGGCAAAAUCCUAUUGCAGCAACAAGAUCAUUCAACUGGGAAAAUGCCAAUACCAAAGCAAAAACAGUCAGUUCAGUCCAAACAGCAGAAUGCUACAAUGCAAAUGCCAACACAGAAGCAGCAGCGACCAGUGUUGAGUAAUUCCGAGUCUUUUGUGGUGACAACAGCAUGGGAAACUUUUGAUUAAGCUGUGGAGAUAAUGUUUCCACGAGUUCUUGGCUUAAGUGGGAGCAAUUUAAAGAAAAAGACGGUUAACUACGCUUGGAUUUCCAUUUUUCUGUCACUCUUGUUUCUUUACUCAUUCCUUGCUGUUUUAGAUUUAUGAUUUGUUUUUCUUUUUUGAAAAUAAACUAAAUUGGCUCUUAGCAAAUUGUAUACAGAAUAUAGCAGAUUUCUUAUAUGUACCAUAUUAUGUUAUAGAGUAGUUAUAAAUUCGGGCAAGUAGAAUUAUAUUUUGAA